GUCCACGCCCUAAACGAUGUCUACUAGUUGUCGGUUUAAUUAACUUGGUAACGCAGCUAACGCGUGAAGUAGACCGCCUGGGAGUACGGUCGCAAGAUUAAACUCAAGGAAUUGACGGGACCCGCACAAGCGGUGGAUGAUGUGGAUUAAUUCGAUGCAACGCGAAACCUUACCUACCCUUGACAUGGAUGGAAUCCCGGAGAGAUUUGGGAGUGCUCGAAAGAGAACCAUCACACAGGUGCUGCAUGGCUGUCGU
This 256-nucleotide ribosomal RNA is filed under the name uncultured bacterium. Its description in RNAcentral is "partial 16S ribosomal RNA". It matches the Rfam family "Bacterial small subunit ribosomal RNA", at positions 793 to 1055 of the family's 1533-position model. The record is from RNAcentral.